RNAcentral lists this ribosomal RNA (366 nucleotides) under uncultured bacterium. RNAcentral's name for it is "partial 16S ribosomal RNA". It matches the Rfam family "Bacterial small subunit ribosomal RNA", at positions 338 to 696 of the family's 1533-position model. The record is from RNAcentral.
CCUACGGGUGGCAGCAGUGGGGAAUAUUGCGCAAUGGGCGAAAGCCUGACGCAGCGACGCCGCGUGAGGGAUGAAGGUCUUCGGAUCGUAAACCUCUGUCAGCAGGGAAGAACGGUCACUGUGCUAAUCAGCAGUGAAUUGACGGUACCUGCAAAGGAAGCACCGGCUAAUUCCGUGCCAGCAGCCGCGGUAAUACGGAGGGUCCGGGCGUUAUCCGGAUUUAUUGGGGUUAAAGGGAGCGUAGGCCGGAUGUCAAGCGUGCUGUGAAAUGUCCGGGCUCAACCCGGGCCUUGCGGCGGAAACUGGCGUGCUUGAGUCCGCGGAAGGCAGGCGGAAUUCGGCGUGUAGCGGUGAAAUGCUUAGAUA